Molecule: long non-coding RNA, 1847 nt
Organism: Pteropus alecto (black flying fox)
Lineage: Eukaryota; Metazoa; Chordata; Mammalia; Chiroptera; Pteropodidae
Exons: 2
Source: RefSeq, a predicted model, not a curated record
UGUUUAUAUUGACUGUUUAUUAAUCACAAAUUUACUGAGGAAUAUAAAAAAGAGAAAAAGGUAUAGAUUGAUGAGGAACCAAAAGGGGUAAGGGAGAAGAAAUUAAGCCAAAACAAUAAACCAGAUGGCAGAAACUAUCUUUAAAGAUCAAAUCAGUCCUGGGCUGGAGUGCCAGCUGUUUCCUUUACACACUGUGGACAAGUUCAUUGACCUCUCUGAGUUUGGUUUUCUCAUUGGUAAAAUGAGAAUAACUGGAGCAUCUUGCUCCCAGUGGGCUGUUCCAGGAAUAAAUAAAAUUACCCACAACGUGCUUUCAUGUUGCCCAGCACACGAAUGUUGCCUGUUCUUAUGUUCACAGCCUGAAAUGCUGAGGGGAAAGGAUCUGAAGAUAUGAAAGUGUGUGGGAAAAUGGAGGCAGUCUAGCUUUUCGCAGCAAUCACUAAUUAGCCAGCAAUCAACGACCCGCUUGGGCUCAGACAGGACUGAGGUCAGCCAAAGCUUCUGUUACUGCCUGGAACUCUGGAGCUGUCCCAGAAUUGUUUACUUAAUUCCCCCUUAGAGGUAUACUCCCUAGCUCUGUCUCUCACUCCAUUUGGGCCUGACUCGCAGGACAACUAAUCUAAUCAGCUAAUCUAUGCUAAAUUAUUAAUAGGAUCUAAGAGGUUAAUGUGUAACAAGUAUAUACUCCAACAGAGGUAUGCUGGAGACACAAGGCCUCAGUGAGUCAUUAGAGUCUGGGUGGGAAUUCUGGGCACCAGGCAGCCCUCCUCAAAUCAAAUCAAAUUCUAGGAAGGCAUUUUAAAAAUCCUGCCAUCAAAAGUAAUUCAUAUGUGAAUACUAUCCAAUCAACAAACGGGCAGGCCAAAAAAAUCCUCUAACUAGACCGGGACAAAGGGUAUGUUUAUGAACUUUGUGACCUUAGGUAAAUCAACUUCACGGACUUCGCUGUGUCUCUGACUUCCCAUCUGCAAAAUGGAGGUUGAGCCUUUAUGAUUGUAUCCUUGGGAGCCCUACCAAGAAGUACAGUACAUUCUAAUGGGAGCGAUGGACAGAGUCCCCAGUGCCUAAUGGAGACUAAGCCAUGGUAAUUCCAAAGUCAUUCCAAUAGGUAUAAGGCACUUUAGCUGGGUGGAGAAGAACUCUCAGCUUUGACUAGUCCCGGUGUCCCAAAGAAGUAGCUGCAAGGCAGGAUUUUUAUCUGUCUGGUUAUUGAGACUGUCUCAUUCCAGAAAGAGAAAAGAGAAAAGAGAAGAGAAGAGAAGAAGAGAAGAGAAGAGAAGAGAAGAGAAGAGAAGAGAAGAGAAGAGAAGAGAAGAGAAGAGAAGAGAAGAGAAGAGCAGAGCAGAGCAGAGAAGAGAAUGGGAUCUUGGUUUGGCUGUUGGUCUCUGGUGACAUGAGGCUACAAAAUAACUACAAUCCACCACCCUCAUUUCUUUUUAAAAUACAUUUUCUUAUUAUGAAACUAUUAUAGAAUCAUGGCAAAAAUAUAAGAAUAUAAAAUUCAAAGGUGAAGAUGGCCUACGUUCCUGCCAAUCAGAAAUAAUCUGUUGAUAUUUUUCUGCAUAUUGCUUCAGACUUUUUCUUUACACACAUGUGCACCCACAUGCACUUUAUUAUUUUUUAAAAAAUGAGAUCAUAUCAUAUAUACUAAAUUAUCACUGCCCAAUCACUUAAUAUAUAUAUAUUUCUGUGUUUAUAUAUAUUUCUAUGCCAUCAUUUUUAAUGGCUGCAUAGGAAUCCAUCGAAUGCGUACCUUGUAAGUUAUUUAUCUGUCUUUUACUGAUGGGCACUUAGGUUGUUUCUAGCCUUUCGUUAUAAUAAACAACACUGUACUAAGUAUUCUCUCA